UCCUCGGUGGCUCAGAUGGUAAAGCAUCUGCCUGCAAUGCAGGAGAUCCAGGUUGGAUUGCUGGGUUGGGAA
This 72-nucleotide transfer RNA is filed under the name Bos taurus (domestic cattle). It matches the Rfam family "tRNA". Rfam says of the family: Transfer RNA (tRNA) molecules are approximately 80 nucleotides in length. Lineage: Eukaryota; Metazoa; Chordata; Mammalia; Artiodactyla; Bovidae. RNAcentral also lists the same sequence under 1 other name. The record is from Rfam by way of RNAcentral.